RNAcentral lists this small RNA (110 nucleotides) under Ligilactobacillus ruminis. Its description in RNAcentral is "Ribosomal protein L10 leader". It matches the Rfam family "Ribosomal protein L10 leader". Rfam says of the family: This family is a putative r-protein leader autoregulatory structure found in B. subtilis and other low-GC Gram-positive bacteria. The record is from RNAcentral. Lineage: Bacteria; Bacillati; Bacillota; Bacilli; Lactobacillales; Lactobacillaceae.
UUAUAUUAUGAUUCUACCUAAGACUCAGGUGGCUUUUGCCUUAAUAUCCUGCCGAGGAGCAAUGUUAAGUUCUCUCUCUGUGUCUUGGUGGACAUAGGGUUUUUUUAUUU